ACGGAAGGCAGCAGUGGGGAAUAUUGCACAAUGGGGGAAACCCUGAUGCAGCGACGCCGCGUGAGUGAAGAAGUAUUUCGGUAUGUAAAGCUCUAUCAGCAGGAAAGAAAAUGACGGUACCUGACUAAGAAGCCCCGGCUAACUACGUGCCAGCAGCCGCGGUAAUACGUAGGGGGCAAGCGUUAUCCGGAUUUACUGGGUGUAAAGGGAGCGUAGACGGCUUUGCAAGUCUGAGGUGAAAGCCCGGGGCUCAACCCCGGAACUGCUUUGGAAACUGUAGAGCUAGAGUGCAGGAGAGGUAAGUGGAAUUCCUAGUGUAGCGGUGAAAUGCGUAGAUAUUAGGAGGAACACCAGUGGCGAAGGCGGCUUACUGGACUGUAACUGACGUUGAGGCUCGAAGGCGUGGGGAGCAAACAGGAUUAGAUACCCUGGUA
RNAcentral lists this ribosomal RNA (434 nucleotides) under uncultured Lachnospiraceae bacterium. Its description in RNAcentral is "partial 16S ribosomal RNA". It matches the Rfam family "Bacterial small subunit ribosomal RNA", at positions 341 to 792 of the family's 1533-position model. The record is from RNAcentral. Lineage: Bacteria; Bacillati; Bacillota; Clostridia; Lachnospirales; Lachnospiraceae.